UGACCUCGGAAUCAGG
This 16-nucleotide ribosomal RNA is filed under the name Allophoma tropica. RNAcentral's name for it is "partial 28S ribosomal RNA". The record is from RNAcentral. Lineage: Eukaryota; Fungi; Ascomycota; Dothideomycetes; Pleosporales; Didymellaceae.